CCUACGGGGGGCUGCAGUGGGGAAUAUUGGACAAUGGGCGAAAGCCUGAUCCAGCCAUGCCGCGUGUGUGAAGAAGGCCUUCGGGUUGUAAAGCACUUUCAGUGGGGAAGAAAGCCUUGGGGCUAAUACCCUCGAGGAAGGACAUCACCCACAGAAGAAGCACCGGCUAACUCCGUGCCAGCAGCCGCGGUAAUACGGAGGGUGCGAGCGUUAAUCGGAAUUACUGGGCGUAAAGCGCGCGUAGGCGGUCUGAUAAGCCGGUUGUGAAAGCCCCGGGCUCAACCUGGGAACGGCAUCCGGAACUGUCAGGCUAGAGUGCAGGAGAGGAAGGUAGAAUUCCCGGUGUAGCGGUGAAAUGCGUAGAGAUCGGGAGGAAUACCAGUGGCGAAGGCGGCCUUCUGGACUGACACUGACGCUGAGGUACGAAAGCGUGGGUAGCAAACAGGAUUAGAUACCCGAGUAGUC
This 465-nucleotide ribosomal RNA is filed under the name Vreelandella stevensii. RNAcentral describes it as "partial 16S ribosomal RNA". It matches the Rfam family "Bacterial small subunit ribosomal RNA", at positions 338 to 795 of the family's 1533-position model. The record is from RNAcentral. Lineage: Bacteria; Pseudomonadati; Pseudomonadota; Gammaproteobacteria; Oceanospirillales; Halomonadaceae.